AUGUCGAGCUUGGAAGUCUUGAAUUUAGCCCACAAUGAUCUCAAUGAGUUCAUACCAUCGUCUCUAACAAAGCUGACAUUUCUCUCCAAAUUUGAUGUCUCCUACAACAACCUCACUGGAGAUAUCCCAACAGGGGGCCAAUUUUCCACAUUCACAAAGGAGAGUUUCGUGGGCAAUGCUGCACUAUGCCUUGGUCGGAAUGGCCCCUGCUUCGGAAAGGCUACUUUUGAAGGAACAGAAAGUGAUGGCACUGAUACCGUAUCCAUAAUGCCCGCAAUGACAUACAUCACCGCAGAAGCGGGAUUCGCUUUCGGGCUUUUGACCGUCUGUAACAUACUGUUUUUCGCAAGGGCUUGGAGGGCCGCGUAUUUUCUGGCUGUUGAUAGGUUCUUUGAUAUGCUCCAUGUCAUAAUAAUGGUGAAGAUGAACAAGCUCAGAAGAAAAUGGGAAGAUAAAGAGCAUCCUUAG
Molecule: ribosomal RNA, 468 nt
Filed under: Triticum aestivum (bread wheat)
Lineage: Eukaryota; Viridiplantae; Streptophyta; Magnoliopsida; Poales; Poaceae
Description: partial small subunit ribosomal RNA
Source: RNAcentral